GGGGCCCUGGGCUCUGGGGUAGCUGUGCCUCCCAAGCCCCCCCUCUCGCUGUCGGACACUCUGUUUCUCCAGUCUGUUCGGGACAUCCGUUCCCCGGGCGGGGUGCCCACCACGUGGGUGGGUUUUCCCCCCCGCCACCGAGCGCGGCUUCCCUCCGUUUGACCCUCGGGACGAGGGUGCGGCGGGUCCCGCUCCCCCCGGAAACGCACAUCUCGUACGUUGUGUGUUGCAGCUGCACCACGGACCGCCUCUCCCACCCGGGAGCGGGCAGGUUCCGCCGGCACGAUCGGACGAGGGUGGUCACCCCAGACCUCCGACCGCCGCCUCACCCAGGAGACGGGCCACCCGGGUCGCCCACGGAAUUGACGGAUAGAGAGCUCUUGCUCUCGGGCUGUCCCGGCCAGGUCCCGUCCCGCUCGAAAAGUCGGGGCGCGCGGAAGGUGCGUCGAGGGUGCGCCGCCGAGGUCUAGCGGGUGUGCCCGGCAUCGGGUCUUCCUCCCUGGCAGAGCUCCGACCCCCACACGGAGCGCGAGGUGCAGC
Molecule: unclassified non-coding RNA, 540 nt
Filed under: Siren reticulata
Lineage: Eukaryota; Metazoa; Chordata; Amphibia; Caudata; Sirenidae
Description: partial external transcribed spacer
Source: RNAcentral